AAACGUUACGUUACCUAAUUUAAAAUUUGUUUUCUAACAUCAUAUUAUUUAUAGUGAUAUCCAUCUGCUGUGCACUCCUAAACUUUUUCUCAGAGAUAUUUUCUUUCACUCACGAUGCUCUGGAGCAGAUGGGAAAAUUGGUCUUAACAAGGAAAACACCAAAAAUUGUUCAUGCUGAUUUAACAGAAAAAUCAAAUGGAGAUGAUGUGCUUGAAGAGUGUGAAGCCACCAAUACAUGACUGGAGCCAGAGUCCUUCGGGAUGUUACAGAAGAUGGGACACAGAUGGGAUGUCUGUCCUGCUGCCUGAAUGAAACACAUCAAAGAUGUAUCAUAUGCACACACUGGAGAGUAAGGUGGACACUAUCUCCUUCUCUUUUCUUCAUGACAUGCAUAAUUGACCUACAAUAACACAAGUCACUUCAGCUGUCUGAGAUGCAGAAUAUUAGUUGACUGACUUCAAGAGGUCCCAAGAACAAUAGUUGAUCUGAAAGUUCAAAGUUUCUGCACUGUCACUCAUAUCAUCCUGUAUUGGAAAUGUACGUUUCUAGAAUAAAAUGUGAGUGCAAAACUCAC
Long non-coding RNA from Carassius carassius (crucian carp), 574 nucleotides. RefSeq lists it as uncharacterized. The record is from RefSeq and is a predicted model, not a curated record. NCBI's taxonomy places the organism in Eukaryota, Metazoa, Chordata, Actinopteri, Cypriniformes, Cyprinidae. The transcript has 3 exons.